AGUGAACGCUGGCGGUAGGCCUAACACAUGCAAGUCGAACGGCAGCACAGUAAGAGCUUGCUCUUACGGGUGGCGAGUGGCGGAUGGGUGAGGAAUACAUAGGAAUCUACUUUUUCGUGGGGGAUAACGUAGGGAAACUUAUGCUAAUACCGCAUACGACCUACGGGUGAAAGCAGGGGAUCUUCGGACCUUGCGCGAUUGAAUGAGCCGAUGUCGGAUUAGCUAGUUGGCGAGGUAAAGGCCCACCAAGGCGACGAUCCGUAGCUGGUCUGAGAGGAUGAUCGGCCACACUGGAACUGAGACACGGUCCAGACUCCUACGGGAGGCAGCAGUGGGGAAUAUUGGACAAUGGGCGCAAGCCUGAUCCAGCCAUACCGCGUGAGUGAAGAAGGCCUUCGGAUUGUAAAGCCCUUUUGUUGGGAAAGAAAAGCAGCAGGUUAAUACCCCGCUGUUCUGACGGUACCCAAAGAAUAAGCACCGGCUAACUUCGUG
This 492-nucleotide ribosomal RNA is filed under the name uncultured bacterium. RNAcentral describes it as "partial 16S ribosomal RNA". It matches the Rfam family "Bacterial small subunit ribosomal RNA", at positions 29 to 507 of the family's 1533-position model. The record is from RNAcentral.